Molecule: ribosomal RNA, 476 nt
Filed under: uncultured bacterium
Lineage: Bacteria
Description: partial 16S ribosomal RNA
Rfam family: Bacterial small subunit ribosomal RNA
Source: RNAcentral
GAUGAACGCUGGCGGCGUGCUUAACACAUGCAAGUCGAGCGAGUGAGUUCUUCGGAACGAUCUAGCGGCGGACGGGUGAGUAACACGUGGGCAACCUGCCUCAUAGAGGGGAAUAGCCUCCCGAAAGGGAGAUUAAUACCGCAUAAAAUUAUCGAGUGGCAUCACACGAUAAUCAAAGGAGUAAUCCGCUAUGAGAUGGGCCCGCGGCGCAUUAGCUAGUUGGUGAGGUAACGGCUCACCAAGGCGACGAUGCGUAGCCGACCUGAGAGGGUGAUCGGCCACAUAGGGACUGAGACACGGCCCAGACGCCUACGGGAGGCAGCAGUGGGGAAUAUUGCACAAUGGGGGAAACCCUGAUGCAGCAACGCCGCGUGAGUGAUGAAGGUCUUCGGAUUGUAAAGCUCUGUCUUUGGGGACGAUAAUGACGGUACCCAAGGAGGAAGCCACGGCUAACUACGUGCCAGCCGCCGCCGUAA